This 484-nucleotide ribosomal RNA is filed under the name uncultured bacterium. RNAcentral describes it as "partial 16S ribosomal RNA". It matches the Rfam family "Bacterial small subunit ribosomal RNA", at positions 30 to 507 of the family's 1533-position model. The record is from RNAcentral.
AUUGAACGCUGGCGGCAGGCCUAACACAUGCAAGUCGAGCGGAUGAAGGGAGCUUGCUCCUGGAUUUAGCGGCGGACGGGUGAGUAAUGCCUAGGAAUCUGCCUGGUAGUGGGGGAUAACGUCCGGAAACGGGCGCUAAUACCGCAUACGUCCUGAGGGAGAAAGUGGGGGAUCUUCGGACCUCACGCUAUCAGAUGAGCCUAGGUCGGAUUAGCUAGUUGGUGGGGUAAAGGCCUACCAAGGCGACGAUCCGUAACUGGUCUGAGAGGAUGAUCAGUCACACUGGAACUGAGACACGGUCCAGACUCCUACGGGAGGCAGCAGUGGGGAAUAUUGGACAAUGGGCGAAAGCCUGAUCCAGCAAUGCCGCGUGUGUGAAGAAGGUCUUCGGAUUGUAAAGCACUUUAAGUUGGGAGGAAGGGCAGUAAGUUAAUACCUUGCCGUUUUGACGUUACCAACAGAAUAAGCACCGGCUAACUUCGUG